AAGUCGUAACAAGGUUUCCGUAGGUGAACCUGCGGAAGGAUCAUUAACACGUUUCGUUCCGAACGUUUUGACCCUCCUAUUUUCCGUGCACCCAAACGCGUCCGGCCUCUCAGCCGCUCACUGGGUUUACUCAGUGUUGCCUGUUGGGCGUCAAUCGGGAUCCAAGGAAUGUGUGUUUGGCGCAAGUCAGUACACGUUUCUCCUGAUGGGCGUUGCCACCUCACCCAAACCCUUUAAUCUAACUGAUCUGAACUUUUAGUUGACGCGGAGAGGCAACUUUCCAAAUCAGCGACUUGAACAAACAACAACUCUUAACAACGGAUAUCUUGGUUCUC
RNAcentral lists this unclassified non-coding RNA (335 nucleotides) under fungal sp. RNAcentral describes it as "partial internal transcribed spacer region". The stretch from base 1 to 46 matches the Rfam family "Eukaryotic small subunit ribosomal RNA", at positions 1786 to 1831 of the family's 1831-position model. Lineage: Eukaryota; Fungi. The record is from RNAcentral.